This is an RNA transcript of Phasianus colchicus (ring-necked pheasant), 2854 nucleotides long. It is a transcript of the gene named leucine rich repeat containing 38, with no coding region annotated. The record is from RefSeq and is a predicted model, not a curated record. Lineage: Eukaryota; Metazoa; Chordata; Aves; Galliformes; Phasianidae.
CCGGCAUCCGCCCUCAUCCCCAGACAAUGAGCUGUGGAGGAGAGCGGGUUCUCUUACCCCGUUAUGGGGUUUUCUGUCCUCUGUGAUAAAAAAAGAACUCUUGAAAAGCUGAAGCUCUAAACUUCAUGGAAACAAGGGGGACAGAAGAAAUAUGAAGAAAUGAAGAAGCGUGGAAGGACUGUGAGAAGAAAAAGGUAAGGCACUUCUGUCUGCUAGAGUUCUAUUAGAACAUUCCAAGAUGUUGUACCGAGUCUGUGUGAAUUUGUUAAAAGUGUAUUAUUGGAAAGAUAAAAAGAAUUAUAGGUGUAGACUUUAAACCCUUCAAAGCAGAGAGAUUAGAGCUCUCUUACGCUAAGGUAGUACUCUACUGGGGGAAAACAAAUACUUGUAAAGCUGUAUGCUGAGUUCUGACUUACUUGAAGUCAGAGAUCAGGGAAGCUAGGUCUGGGAUUUGGGCUGAGGUCUUCAUUGAUGUACAUUGAAAAUGAGGUUUUAAGUUGUAUGAUGGUUUAAAGGCUUAAGAGAUGGUCUUCACUGAAUGCUUUUUUUUCCUUAAUUGCAUAUUCUGAGUGUUGAUUCCUAAAUUGUUUGUUUUGUAUCUUGGUGUUGAAGGAGGUAAGCUGGACUUCAUUAGCUACUUCAGUCAGUAAAUAAGAUGUGUCAAGGACUGAGCUGUUUCAGGAAAAAAAGCUCUUUUUAUCCAAGUGCUGCUUGGGCAAAUCUGAGACCUCAGCUGGCUGAGCAGAACCAAAUCACGUUCUGGUCAACUGAGAAAAGGCACUUGGGGUCCUGUGCCAAUAUAUCAAAGGAGACAGCAGCUCUGGAGGGCCAGUAUGAACCUUGGUUAGUCACACUUCUGUACACUGACUGGGGGAACUCUUAAACUUGCUUUUCUAAUGCAAGAAUGCAUCUGUGUUGUGUUCAGGAAUAAGUAUGUGUCUACUAAUGCUUUUGAGGCAUUUUUUCCAUGGCUGUAUCUUGGUGUUUUCUUCAAAAUAAAUAACUGAAGGCAUCUUUAAGCUUUCUCAUGGAUCUGAACUGUUAAAAUAAUCCAAUAGAUGUGACCAAUAGCAGUUUUUCCUUCAGACUGUGACUGAAAAAAGAAUUUGGUGCUUCAUUCAGUACUCAAAUGUUUUCUGCAGACUGUCUGCAAUCUGGCAUUUGCAUCGCAAUGAUAAAUAAGUAACAAAUGUGUGUGGAAAACACCAAGUCAAUCACAGAGCUCACUGGGGCUAGUAUGCAUGUGGUGAAUGCCUGUUAUGUGGCUGUAACAAUAGAUUCUCAGGUACUACACUGGUGAAAUUAGAACUUGUUCUGUGCAGAAUAGAAUAAGUCAACACAUGAAAGAUGCAAAUAAGUCAUGUUGCAAAUAUAACAGUGCCUGCUUCAAAUGCUUGAUGACUCUAUAAGGGCAUCCUCAGAUAAUAACUAUGUGAUAGCAAAUCUCCUGCAAAUGCAGACUUUGCUUUUGAAAUUGCUUGAAGUAUUUUAGUCUUGGUUAUUGAGCUCUAAUAGUAACACUAAUCUCUUUAGCUGUCGCAAGAACUCUCAACCAAACAAAAGUAGGCUUGAAGAUUUGCAGAAACUUGAUACAUAAUGUAUGAUUUGUCAGCUCAGUAUUACAUGUAUUGAACUACAGGGAUUCCAGUUGUUUUCCUUUGGGGCCUCACUGGUAGUUCCUCAGGCUGUAUUUUUGGCAUAUCCUAUCGCUUUUCCUCUAAGCAGCUGUGCUUUGCUCAAGUGUGAAUAGGCUCUUGCUGUUAUUCAACUAGCUGUCACUCAACUAGGUUCUAUAUAUUUAGGCCUGCAUUCUUUGAACAAAAUACCUCUGUACUUUAUAGUAUAUUCUGAAAGAUUCUAAGGUAGUGACACCCAAAAUCCUAUAGCCAAGUGUGCUUUCUCCUGUAUUCUUGUUGAUUAUUAAAAUUCCAAAUCACACUUUACUGUACUAGUGUGAUGCAGUUAAUAUAUAGCUUUUAACUGUGAAGUAUGGAGCAGAAAUCCGUAGCAAAAUAGUGUUUUAGCUUUUGCUACAGAUUAAUAUCAUUUGUUGGAAGUCAUUACACAUUAGAAAUUCACAUUUAUAAAUAUUUCAGCAGCUUGCUCUUGAUGUAGCAGUCUUCCAUGUAUAAAUCCUGUGCUCUCAAGCUGCUUGUUUAAAUUAUAAAUGUCUCUACAGAGCUUACCACAUCAUACCUCUGUGAAUGAUAAAUGCUUCAGUAACCUAAUCAGAUCUUGUUUUCAAGGUAUCCAAAACCAGUGAGAUUAAGAGAUAGGCAGCAUUAAAAAGGUAGGUUCUUUUUAUGGUGAAAAGAGCUCAGUAGAUCAGCCUUUAAUUCUACAACUUUCUUGUGGUAUUCUUCACCCAUUGGGGCACAUCAGUGACUGCAAUACUGUUGUUUUCCAGACCUCAUUCAACCUCAGCAAGCAGGAGCAGCCUGGCUGUCUUGUUCUGUCAUGGUCAGCGCUGUUGUUGGUUUCUCUUGCCCCUGUUCAUUGCCACAGAGGCUCUCAGUUUGCUGUGUCUGGGAGGUUUUGAUUUUUGUUGUUGAUGUGAUCAGUUCUCCUUGAAACUUAGGUAGGUCUGGCUACCAGUGUACAAGAAAGUUAUCUUUAUUUUCACCUCACUUUGAGAAUAUGUACCACCUGGUGGUGUUCUGGAGUACCUGCACUUCAAUUUACAUUUUGUGGUGGUCAGAGAAGCCUACAAAUGUCAAGCCAUCUGAAGUACUGAACAUUUAGUUUCUGUAUUCUUAAAAUAGCAGUAUUGCUAUUCUGUGUAAAUUACACCAAUAGUGACACAGAGAUAAAGAUGAAAUCCAAUUACAUUUAGAGUAUCAAAUUUUAUGGUAUC